Molecule: ribosomal RNA, 496 nt
Filed under: uncultured bacterium
Lineage: Bacteria
Description: partial 16S ribosomal RNA
Rfam family: Bacterial small subunit ribosomal RNA
Source: RNAcentral
GAUGAACGCUAGCGGCAGGCCUAACACAUGCAAGUCGAGCGGUAGAGGUUGCUUGCAACCUUGAGACCGGCGCACGGGUGCGUAACGCGUAUGCAAUCGGCCUUGUACUGAGGGAUAGCCCAGAGAAAUUUGGAUUAAUACCUUAUAGUAUCUUUUCUCGGCAUCGGGAGAUUAUUAAAGUUCCAACGGUACAAGAUGAGCAUGCGUCCUAUUAGCUAGUUGGUAUGGUAACGGCAUACCAAGGCAAUGAUGGGUAGGGGUCCUGAGAGGGAGAUCGCCCACACUGGUACUGAGACACGGACCAGACGACGACGGGAGGCAGCAGUGAGGAAUAUUGGUCAAUGGGCGCAAGGCUGAACCAGCCAUGCCGCGUGCAGGAUGAAGCAUCUAUGGUGUGUAAACUACUUUUAGACGGGAAGAAACACCGGUUCGUGAACCGGCUUGACGGUACCGUAAGAAUAAGGAUCGGCUAACUCCGUGCCAGCCGCCGCUGUAA